RNAcentral lists this ribosomal RNA (164 nucleotides) under uncultured Enterobacteriaceae bacterium. RNAcentral describes it as "partial 16S ribosomal RNA". It matches the Rfam family "Bacterial small subunit ribosomal RNA", at positions 1220 to 1382 of the family's 1533-position model. The record is from RNAcentral. Lineage: Bacteria; Pseudomonadati; Pseudomonadota; Gammaproteobacteria; Enterobacterales; Enterobacteriaceae.
ACGUGCUACAAUGGCAUAUACAAAGAGAAGCGAACUCGCGAGAGCAAGCGGACCUCAUAAAGUAUGUCGUAGUCCGGAUUGGAGUCUGCAACUCGACUCCAUGAAGUCGGAAUCGCUAGUAAUCGUAGAUCAGAAUGCUACGGUGAAUACGUUCCCGGGCCGUU